This is an RNA transcript of Leptonychotes weddellii (Weddell seal), 1093 nucleotides long. RefSeq lists it as uncharacterized. NCBI's taxonomy places the organism in Eukaryota, Metazoa, Chordata, Mammalia, Carnivora, Phocidae. The record is from RefSeq and is a predicted model, not a curated record.
CAGGCGCCCCUUAACUUACUGCACUUAUGUGUUUAGAUCUCAGUUUAACAUUAUAGUCAACCAGUUCAGGUAUAUUUAAGUGAAAUAAGCCAUAUGACAGACUCAAAAACUUAUUUAAGAAAGACGCUUUAGUAAGAGGCUAGAUCUUAUUUUCAGCUGGUACAUUGAUGGGCUUUCUGCGUUUAAAAGCUUGAGCUUUCUCCAAACUUCUUUGGAGGAGGAAGGAAGGGUGUGGGAAGAAACAGGACAACGAAGUACAGUACUGAUUAAAAGGUGAAGAAGAACCACCCACAUACCUCCCCCAGUCACCUUUUUUGUUUUAUGUGGGAAGAUUUAUUUGCUGGCGUUUUCUGCCAUUCUGCCUUAAUUGGGACUCUGCUUUUUUAUUUAUGACAAAGUUUAUGAAUGAUUUGAUGAAGAUGUAGAAAUCAUGAGUAUUUUUGAAUCAUGAAAGCUGUAGAAAUCAUGACUCUCACCUUGAAGGCAUAUCUGGACUGUGUUCAGCUGCAUGUGACAGGAAGGUGGCGACAGUAACUAAACCAAAUAGUUUUAUUUUUCUCACCUAGCAAGAAAUCCAGAGGGGACUCGUCUUGGUAGCUCCAGCUCUUGAUGAGACCAUCAAAGACCUCCGUUGUCCUGAUCCUAAGGCUUGAGCGCUCGCACCAAGUGUAAGCAAUCUCAAGAUGGCUGCUGAAGCGCCAAACAUCAUGUCCACAUGCAAGACAAGAAGAAAGAGGAAGGAAAGAAAAUACACUAAUAGACUUCUGCUGACCUCCUUAUUGAUCAGAGCUGUGUCAUAUAGCCAUUCCUAGCAGCAAGGGAGGCUGGAAAGCAAGUCCUUGAGCUUAGCCUCCACAGUAGAGGCUGCAAGAGAAAAGGGGAGAGGUGUUGGAUGAACUAACCUUCAAUGUCUGCCACAGAAUGGAUCCAGAGCUCUAUCAGAGUUUUUAAAAAGUCCGUUAUAUAGUUACCACUUGGCUUGUCAGUAUGAAUGAAACUUUGUCAGCUGUAAAUUCAGAAUGAUGUAACGUGAUGCUGUUGUGGAAAGUUAACGUAAUGAGCUCUAGUGAUUAAAAGUAGAGUGUGAAGAAGA